Molecule: ribosomal RNA, 434 nt
Filed under: uncultured bacterium
Lineage: Bacteria
Description: partial 16S ribosomal RNA
Rfam family: Bacterial small subunit ribosomal RNA
Source: RNAcentral
AGCGAACGCUGGCGGCAGGCCUAACACAUGCAAGUCGAACGAACCUUUCGGGGUUAGUGGCGGACGGGUGAGUAACACGUGGGAACGUGCCUUUAGGUUCGGAAUAACUCAGGGAAACUUGUGCUAAUACCGAAUGUGCCCUUCGGGGGAAAGAUUUAUCGCCUUUAGAGCGGCCCGCGUCUGAUUAGCUAGUUGGUUGAGGUAAUGGCUCACCAAGGCGACGAUCAGUAGCUGGUCUGAGAGGAGGAUCAGCCACAUUGGGGCUGAGACACGGCCCAAACUCCUACGGGAGGCAGCAGUGGGGGAUCUUGCGCAAUGGGCGAAAGCCUGACGCAGCCAUGCCGCGUGAAUGAUGAAGGUCUUAGGAUUGUAAAAUUCUUUCACCGGGGACGAUAAUGACGGUACCCGGAGAAGAAGCCCCGGCUAACUUCGUG